This 1581-nucleotide long non-coding RNA is filed under the name Apis dorsata (giant honeybee). RNAcentral describes it as "uncharacterized LOC116186344". Lineage: Eukaryota; Metazoa; Arthropoda; Insecta; Hymenoptera; Apidae. The record is from RNAcentral.
AAGAAGUACAGAGUUAGAGAUAGAGAUAGAUAGACAGAGAAAGAGAUAGGGAAAUGAAACGGUGAAAGCCCCUGAGUAGCGAAGAUGAAGAUGUCUUUGAAGGGAGAGAUGGAGGGAGAGAGAGAGAGAGACAGAGAGAGAGAGAGAGAGAGAGAGAAAGAGAGAGAGAUGCUUCUCUUCUUUCCUUCGCGUUUUAAGUCCCUUUCCCGAAGGAAAAUAAACAGAUACAUUGUGCGCACAUAGAGAGCGGUACGUACAAGAUAUGCGUGGUAAUGCUUAAUAUCGACAUACGUCUGCAAACACGUAGACAUUCAGAGGCACAAAUAGCGGUCCUUGCGAUCAAGCCGCACGUGGAUUGGGAUGAGAAAGCUUGCCGCGAAUUGUACCAGAGAAAGAGAACGAAUGGAUGUCGAAAGAUCGAGAGAAAAGUGGAUGCGCAUCGAGGACGAAGGAACAACCACCUGUUUCGAAAUAUUUUUUUGCGCAUCUAUUUCCUCGAUCGUACUUGCGAAAGUCGGUUACGGUUAUUGCUCAACACACACGAGUGUAUAUAUAUAUACGACUUUCGCAAGAAGGGCAAGCUUUUUUUUGAAAGUAUAUAUAUAUAUAUUUUACAAGGAAUAAAAACAGAGAAGUGAGAAAAAAGAAGUAGAAAUAGAAGAAGAGAAAGAGGAAGAAAAAGAAGAAGAAUAAAAGGAAAAUGAGAAGAUAGAACGAGAGAAAAGAUAAAGGAGAAAGAGGAAGAAGAUCAGUAGACGAAGACAAAGCAACACCACGAACAAACGGUAGACCAUAGACAAAAAAUAUACGAUCGGCAAUAAUGUGCGACAGUGUUUGUGUUCUUUUUUUCUUUUCGUGUGUCUGUGUGCGUGUGACUGGUUACGUGUUCUCGUUUUUUACUUUUUUUAUUUUUCGUUUCUUUCCAUUUUCUUUGUUUUUGAUAUGAUACCUUGGCACUUCAUGCCCUGGUGGAUGACACCAUAGAGAAGACUACCGCAGUGGUCACAGAAGGUGGGGCUGUUGUAGGUGUGUUGCUUGAAUUGGUGCUUCGUCCGCGUGUCCUGCGUUAUUACACCAUUACACCGUGCACACACACGCAGACUCUCGGGUUAUAGGCGUGGGGAAGGGGAAUAAAUAGAGAAGAAAGGAACGAAGGAAGGAAAGAAAAAGACGAUUUCCCCGAUAAGCGAUCGCGCAAUAAUAACUUUUCGUGUCUCUCUCUGGUCCAAGUUUGGAAACAGAGUUGGCAACCGCGAAACCGAACACCUUUGGUUCGGCGUGGCUCAAUGUCAUUCCGUACUAUGGCGACCGUUAUUAUUCGAAUUAUUCUCUCGCUUUCUCUUAAAACGCGUUGAAUUUGAUUAUUGCCCUCUACGUUAAAUUUGAGCAUCGCUGUUCAGGGAAAUCAAGGCGCGAUUCGAAAAAAGGAAGGACGAUGAUUUAAGGAUUUUUUUUUUUAGGUAUCGAGAAGAGUCGUCUUCGAAGCACAGAAGCACAGGAAGGAAAUCAGCACCAGGGCCAAGGAAGACGACGCUAGGACAUUGAUCGUUUUAGUCGAAGUAUGAAUAAGAAAAAAAAAAA